Molecule: ribosomal RNA, 253 nt
Filed under: uncultured bacterium
Lineage: Bacteria
Description: partial 16S ribosomal RNA
Rfam family: Bacterial small subunit ribosomal RNA
Source: RNAcentral
UACGAAGGGGGCUAGCGUUGUUCGGAGUUACUGGGCGUAAAGGGCGCGUAGGCGGCGCACCAAGUCAGGCGUGAAAGCCCUGGGCUCAACCCGGGAAUUGCGCUUGAGACUGGUGUGCUUGAGUACGGGAGAGAAUAGUGGAAUUCCCAGUGUAGAGGUGAAAUUCGUAGAUAUUGGGAAGAACACCGGUGGCGAAGGCGGCUAUCUGGACCGUAACUGACGCUGAGGCGCGAAAGCGUGGGGAGCAAACAGG